AUGUUAAUUUCAAUUUCAAUAUCAAUAUCAAUAUCGUGGGAUGGCUUAUAUCUUCAACAUAUCUUCAAUUUCUUUGCGCUUUCUCAUUUUGUUGAUAAUCGUCUUUACUUUAUUUAUGCAGUUGAUUCCAGCUAUUAAUGCAGAUAUGAAUAUGAAGAUGAGGAAGUUGGGAAACUUGCCAAGUCCACCUCCUGCACCAAAGGUUGACCGAUCUGCAGUUCCAGGCAACGGUGAGACCCACCCAUAAAAAUAGAAAAUUACUAAUGUGCCCAUGGUACCUUAAUAAAAUUACACAUUUAUAUUAUAAAUUUUUGUUUGCGCAAUAAAUUAAGGAGUUGAAUAAGUAGCCGAGUGGCAACUGGCAAAUGGCAUGCUUGUGAUUCAAAGGGGGCCGAGUAUCAACUUUUUUUUUUUUAACCAAAUAAAUGUAUUGCAUUUCAUUAAUUAUCAAAAGUUCAAUACA
Molecule: long non-coding RNA, 463 nt
Organism: Trifolium pratense (red clover)
Lineage: Eukaryota; Viridiplantae; Streptophyta; Magnoliopsida; Fabales; Fabaceae
Exons: 2
Source: RefSeq, a predicted model, not a curated record